RNAcentral lists this ribosomal RNA (664 nucleotides) under Bifidobacterium sp. JCM 7027. RNAcentral's name for it is "bacterial SSU rRNA". It matches the Rfam family "Bacterial small subunit ribosomal RNA", at positions 57 to 729 of the family's 1533-position model. Lineage: Bacteria; Bacillati; Actinomycetota; Actinomycetes; Bifidobacteriales; Bifidobacteriaceae. The record is from RNAcentral.
GCAGUCGAACGGGAUCCUGCGGGCUUUGCUUGCGGGUGAGAGUGGCGAACGGGUGAGUAAUGCGUGACCAACCUGCCCCAUGCUCCGGAAUAGCUCCUGGAAACGGGUGGUAAUGCCGGAUGCUCCCGCGCCCCGCAUGGGGUGUGGGGAAAGCUUUCGUGGCAUGGGAUGGGGUCGCGUCCUAUCAGCUUGUUGGCGGGGUGAGGGCCCACCAAGGCGUUGACGGGUAGCCGGCCUGAGAGGGCGACCGGCCACAUUGGGACUGAGAUACGGCCCAGACUCCUACGGGAGGCAGCAGUGGGGAAUAUUGCACAAUGGGCGCAAGCCUGAUGCAGCGACGCCGCGUGCGGGAUGGAGGCCUUCGGGUUGUAAACCGCUUUUGUUUGGGAGCAAGCCCUUCGGGGUGAGUGUACCUUUCGAAUAAGCACCGGCUAACUACGUGCCAGCAGCCGCGGUAAUACGUAGGGUGCGAGCGUUAUCCGGAAUUAUUGGGCGUAAAGGGCUCGUAGGCGGUUCGUCGCGUCCGGUGUGAAAGUCCAUCGCUUAACGGUGGAUCCGCGUCGGGUACGGGCGGGCUGGAGUGCGGUAGGGGAGACUGGAAUUCCCGGUGUAACGGUGGAAUGUGUAGAUAUCGGGAAGAACACCAAUGGCGAAGGCAGGUCUC